AUUGAACGCUGGCGGCAUGCCUUACACAUGCAAGUCGAACGGCAGCACGGGAGCUUGCUCCUGGUGGCGAGUGGCGAACGGGUGAGUAAUACAUCGGAACGUACCCAGGAGUGGGGGAUAACGUAGCGAAAGUUACGCUAAUACCGCAUAUUCUGUGAGCAGGAAAGCGGGGGAUCGCAAGACCUCGCGCUCUUGGAGCGGCCGAUGUCGGAUUAGCUAGUUGGUGAGGUAAAAGCUCACCAAGGCGACGAUCCGUAGCAGGUCUGAGAGGAUGAUCUGCCACACUGGGACUGAGACACGGCCCAGACUCCUACGGGAGGCAGCAGUGGGGAAUUUUGGACAAUGGGGGCAACCCUGAUCUAGCCAUGCCGCGUGAGUGAACAAGGCCUUCGGGUUGUAAAGCUCUUUCGGCGGGGAAGAAAUGGCAACGGCUAAUAUCCGUUGUUGAUGACGGUACCCGCAUAAGAAGCACCGGCUAACUACGUGCCAGCAGCCGCGGUAAUACGUAGGGUGCGAGCGUUAAUCGGAAUUACUGGGCGUAAAGCGUGCGCAGGCGGUUUCGUAAGACAGACGUGAAAUCCCCGGGCUCAACCUGGGAACUGCGUUUGUGACUGCGAGGCUAGAGUACGGCAGAGGGGGGUAGAAUUCCACGUGUAGCAGUGAAAUGCGUAGAGAUGUGGAGGAAUACCGAUGG
Molecule: ribosomal RNA, 694 nt
Filed under: uncultured Azospira sp.
Lineage: Bacteria; Pseudomonadati; Pseudomonadota; Betaproteobacteria; Rhodocyclales; Rhodocyclaceae
Description: bacterial SSU rRNA
Rfam family: Bacterial small subunit ribosomal RNA
Source: RNAcentral